RNAcentral lists this unclassified non-coding RNA (207 nucleotides) under uncultured Agaricomycetes. Its description in RNAcentral is "sequence contains ITS2". The record is from RNAcentral. Lineage: Eukaryota; Fungi; Basidiomycota; Agaricomycetes.
ACUUCAUCCACCCUUGCUUUCUUAACCGAUCGCUCGGGCUGGGAUUUGGGGGUUGCCGGUCCCUGGUAGAUCGGCUCUCCUUAAAAGCAUUAGCGGGAUCCAAGUGUUGGCCCCCCGGCGUGAUAGUAAAAUAUCUGCGUCUCCUGGGCCUCGCGUUUUAAAGGGUCUGCUUCUAACCGCCCACCUCUGGGCAAAUCUUACUUUACU